CCUACGGGAGGCAGCAGUGAGGAAUAUUGGUCAAUGGGCGCGAGCCUGAACCAGCCAAGUCGCGUGAGGGAAGACGGCCCUACGGGUUGUAAACCUCUUUUGCCGGGGAGCAACGGGCGCCACGUGUGGCGCCACUGAGAGUACCCGGAGAAAAAGCAUCGGCUAACUCCGUGCCAGCAGCCGCGGUAAUACGGAGGAUGCGAGCGUUAUCCGGAUUUAUUGGGUUUAAAGGGUGCGUAGGCGGAGCGUUAAGUCAGUGGUAAAAUUGAGGGGCUCAACCCCUUCCCGCCAUUGAAACUGGCGCUCUUGAGUGGAAGAGAAGUAUGCGGAAUGUAUGGUGUAGCGGUGAAAUGCUUAGAGAUCAUACAGAACACCGAUUGCGAAGGCAGCUUACCAAUCUAUAUCUGACGUUGAGGCACGAAAGCGUGGGGAGCAAACAGGAUUAGAUACCCGGGUAGUC
Molecule: ribosomal RNA, 460 nt
Filed under: uncultured bacterium
Lineage: Bacteria
Description: partial 16S ribosomal RNA
Rfam family: Bacterial small subunit ribosomal RNA
Source: RNAcentral